This 165-nucleotide ribosomal RNA is filed under the name Sabicea venezuelensis. Its description in RNAcentral is "5.8S ribosomal RNA". It matches the Rfam family "5.8S ribosomal RNA". From Rfam's summary of the family: 5.8S ribosomal RNA (5.8S rRNA) is a component of the large subunit of the eukaryotic ribosome. It is transcribed by RNA polymerase I as part of the 45S precursor that also contains 18S and 28S rRNA. The record is from RNAcentral. Lineage: Eukaryota; Viridiplantae; Streptophyta; Magnoliopsida; Gentianales; Rubiaceae.
AAAACGACUCUCGACAACGGAUAUCUCGGCUCUCGCAUCGAUGAAAAACGUAGCGAAAUGCGAUACUUGGUGUGAAUUGCAGAAUCCCGUGAACCAUCGAGUCUUUGAACGCAAGUUGCGCCCAAAGCCAUCAGGCCGAGGGCACGUCUGCCUGGGCGUCACGCA